AUACAUGCAAGUCGAACGAACUCUGGUAUUGAUUGGUGCUUGCAUCAUGAUUUACAUUUGAGUGAGUGGCGAACUGGUGAGUAACACGUGGGAAACCUGCCCAGAAGCGGGGGAUAACACCUGGAAACAGAUGCUAAUACCGCAUAACAACUUGGACCGCAUGGUCCGAGUUUGAAAGAUGGCUUCGGCUAUCACUUUUGGAUGGUCCCGCGGCGUAUUAGCUAGAUGGUGGGGUAACGGCUCACCAUGGCAAUGAUACGUAGCCGACCUGAGAGGGUAAUCGGCCACAUUGGGACUGAGACACGGCCCAAACUCCUACGGGAGGCAGCAGUAGGGAAUCUUCCACAAUGGACGAAAGUCUGAUGGAGCAACGCCGCGUGAGUGAAGAAGGGUUUCGGCUCGUAAAACUCUGUUGUUAAAGAAGAACAUAUCUGAGAGUAACUGUUCAGGUAUUGACGGUAUUUAACCAGAAAGCCACGGCUAACUACGUGCCAGCAGCCGCGGUAAUACGUAGGUGGCAAGCGUUGUCCGGAUUUAUUGGGCGUAAAGCGAGCGCAGGCGGUUUUUUAAGUCUGAUGUGAAAGCCUUCGGCUCAACCGAAGAAGUGCAUCGGAAACUGGGAAACUUGAGUGCAGAAGAGGACAGUGGAACUCCAUGUGUAGCGGUGAAAUGCGUAGAUAUAUGGAAGAACACCAGUGGCGAAGGCGGCUGUCUGGUCUGUAACUGACGCUGAGGCUCGAAAGUAUGGGUAGCAAACAGGAUUAGAUA
RNAcentral lists this ribosomal RNA (768 nucleotides) under Lactiplantibacillus plantarum. Its description in RNAcentral is "bacterial SSU rRNA". It matches the Rfam family "Bacterial small subunit ribosomal RNA", at positions 51 to 784 of the family's 1533-position model. The record is from RNAcentral. Lineage: Bacteria; Bacillati; Bacillota; Bacilli; Lactobacillales; Lactobacillaceae.